This 250-nucleotide ribosomal RNA is filed under the name uncultured prokaryote. RNAcentral's name for it is "partial 16S ribosomal RNA". It matches the Rfam family "Bacterial small subunit ribosomal RNA", at positions 524 to 773 of the family's 1533-position model. The record is from RNAcentral.
UACGGAGGAUGCAAGCGUUAUCCGGAUUUAUUGGGUUUAAAGGGUGCGUAGGCGGAUGAUUAAGCGUGAGGUGAAAUGCCACUGCUCAACAGUGGAACUGCCUCGCGAACUGGUUGUCUGGAAUGCCCCUGCCGUGGGAGGAAUGUGUGGUGUAGCGGUGAAAUGCAUAGAGAUCACACAGAACACCGAUUGCGAAGGCAUCUCACGAAGGGGUGAUUGACGCUGAGGCACGAAAGCGUGGGGAUCAAAC